Beta vulgaris subsp. vulgaris (sugar beet) is the source of this 896-nucleotide long non-coding RNA. RefSeq lists it as uncharacterized. The transcript has 2 exons. The record is from RefSeq and is a predicted model, not a curated record. NCBI's taxonomy places the organism in Eukaryota, Viridiplantae, Streptophyta, Magnoliopsida, Caryophyllales, Amaranthaceae.
UUCAGGUUGAUUGAUGCAUACUACAUAUGGGGAGCUAGUGAGGAGUACUACAUAGCUUAGUUUAGUAGUCAUUAUGUUUUAUAUUUCCCUUUGUCUUAGUUGAAACAAUAAAUUUUUAUUUAUCAAUAAAGAGAAGUUAUUUUUAUUAAUUCCGCUGCAUUGUUAAUUUAGUAGUUAGUAGUUUUAGCCUUUAACGUUAUCACGUGGCGGUAAUACUCUCAAGUUUCUCAAGUGCCUCUUUCUCUUCAGAUCUCACGCCCUCCUCUCUCUCCUUCUCUUUCCUCUCACUCCUUCUCUUUCCUCUCUCGCUCUCUCAGCCGUUCUCUCAUCCUCCACCGCUUCGGCGCCUUAAACCGAAGUUUUCAGCAUCCAUGUUCGCAGUCUUCAUGUUUUCAGCCUCAAGUUCGCCGCCUUCAACAACCCGCAAGACGAGAGAAAGGGGUCCGAAGGAGAGAAGUAAAUCGAAGGUGAGAGAGAAAAGGGUUGGUGUCGCGUGAAGGUUCGUCGGCGUCGCGCGAAAGUUCGUUGGAGAAUGUCGACGAUGGCUGGUUUCAUCACGCCGAUUUUGUUGGUUUUUAUUCGGUUGCUUUUUCCGGCUUCCAAAGCCUCGCACCAGAAAUUCUCCUGAGGCUAUCUACUGGGUCAACAAGGUUGUGCUUUUGGAAAUUCAACGAGGCUAUCUAUUGGGUCAAUAAGGCUGGCAUAUGUUUUUUUUUAUUCAAAUGUUAGGGUUUUUUAUUUUUUUGGAAUGAAUUUUAUGUUAGAGUUCAUGAAUUUGUAAUUUCGAUUUUGAUAUGAAUGUGGUGAAUGAAUUUGUUUUAGCAUGCAGUAGAUUGUUGUAGCUGUGUUUGUAUUAUAAUUGUACAAUAACUACAAAAAUUUUACACUUUGAGAAA